RNAcentral lists this ribosomal RNA (835 nucleotides) under uncultured bacterium. RNAcentral describes it as "bacterial SSU rRNA". It matches the Rfam family "Bacterial small subunit ribosomal RNA", at positions 60 to 861 of the family's 1533-position model. The record is from RNAcentral.
AGUCGAGCGAGCGGAACUAACAGAUUUACUUCGGUAAUGACGUUAGGAAAGCGAGCGGCGGAUGGGUGAGUAACACGUGGGGAACCUGCCCCAUAGUCUGGGAUACCACUUGGAAACAGGUGCUAAUACCGGAUAAGAAAGCAGAUCGCAUGAUCAGCUUUUAAAAGGCGGCGUAAGCUGUCGCUAUGGGAUGGCCCCGCGGUGCAUUAGCUAGUUGGUAAGGUAAAGGCUUACCAAGGCGAUGAUGCAUAGCCGAGUUGAGAGACUGAUCGGCCACAUUGGGACUGAGACACGGCCCAAACUCCUACGGGAGGCAGCAGUAGGGAAUCUUCCACAAUGGACGCAAGUCUGAUGGAGCAACGCCGCGUGAGUGAAGAAGGUUUUCGGAUCGUAAAGCUCUGUUGUUGGUGAAGAAGGAUAGAGGUAGUAACUGGCCUUUAUUUGACGGUAAUCAACCAGAAAGUCACGGCUAACUACGUGCCAGCAGCCGCGGUAAUACGUAGGUGGCAAGCGUUGUCCGGAUUUAUUGGGCGUAAAGCGAGCGCAGGCGGAAGAAUAAGUCUGAUGUGAAAGCCCUCGGCUUAACCGAGGAACUGCAUCGGAAACUGUUUUUCUUGAGUGCAGAAGAGGAGAGUGGAACUCCAUGUGUAGCGGUGGAAUGCGUAGAUAUAUGGAAGAACACCAGUGGCGAAGGCGGCUCUCUGGUCUGCAACUGACGCUGAGGCUCGAAAGCAUGGGUAGUGAACAGGAUUAGAUACCCUGGUAGUCCAUGCCGUANACGAUGAGUGCUAAGUGUUGGGAGGUUUCCGCCUCUCAGUGCUGCAGCUAACGCAUU